GGGGAUUUAGCUCAGUGGUAGAGCAACUGCCUAGGAAGCGCAAGGCCCUGGGUUCGGUCCCCAGCUCCG
Rattus norvegicus (Norway rat) is the source of this 69-nucleotide non-coding RNA. Lineage: Eukaryota; Metazoa; Chordata; Mammalia; Rodentia; Muridae. The record is from Rfam.